GAUGAACGCUGGCGGCGUGCCUAAUACAUGCAAGUCGAGCGAACGAAAGAAACGCAUGCUUUUCUGAUGUUAGAGGCGGACGGAUGAGUAACACGUGGAUAACCUACCUAUAAGACUGGGAUAACUUCGGGAAACCGGAGCUAAUACCGGAUAAUAUUUUGAACCGCAUGGUUCAAAAGUGAAAGACGGUCUUGCUGUCACUUAUAGAUGGAUCCGCGCUGCAUUAGCUAGUUGGUAAGGUAACGGCUUACCAAGGCAACGAUGCAUAGCCGACCUGAGAGGGUGAUCGGCCACACUGGAACUGAGACACGGUCCAGACUCCUACGGGAGGCAGCAGUAGGGAAUCUUCCGCAAUGGGCGAAAGCCUGACGGAGCAACGCCGCGUGAGUGAUGAAGGUCUUCGGAUCGUAAAACUCUGUUAUUGGGGAUGAACAUAUGUGUAAGUAACUGUGCACAUCUUGACGGUACCUAAUCAGAAAGCCACGGCUAACUACGUG
RNAcentral lists this ribosomal RNA (497 nucleotides) under uncultured bacterium. Its description in RNAcentral is "partial 16S ribosomal RNA". It matches the Rfam family "Bacterial small subunit ribosomal RNA", at positions 28 to 507 of the family's 1533-position model. The record is from RNAcentral.